This 897-nucleotide long non-coding RNA is filed under the name Drosophila guanche. The record is from RNAcentral. Lineage: Eukaryota; Metazoa; Arthropoda; Insecta; Diptera; Drosophilidae.
GUCGAAUAAUGUGGGAAAAAAAAGUUCUCACGAUCACCUUUGAAGUCGGAACAGACGGCGCAUGGAAAAUCCACGUGCAAAAGGGGGAAGUAAGUAGGCAAGGAAGGAAGGAAGGAAGGAAGAAACCCUCCACCAUACCACGCCACCACCAACACCAGCGAGCAGGCGGAGUAGGACGCAGGACACACGGCUGGCUUUGGUGGUGGUUGGUGGGCACGGCACGGCCACGGCCCCCUCCUACCCGCCGACUGUCGUUGUCACCGUUUGUCCUGCUCAAUUCCUGGGAGUGCAUGAGAAUUUAAAUUAUACCCACACACACGUGCACUCACUGCAGUGCGCACAAUCAACGGGCUUUGUCUGCGGCUGUGCGUGUGUGUUGUGUAUCGGCAUGCAAGCGGGUCGCCCGAUAGGAACAGGGCGCAGGACGACCUACGCGAGGCGUGUGUGGGAACUUUUGACGGAGGACACUCGAGCAUGAAGAGCGAGGAGACAGGAGGCAAUUAUUACCCAUCCGAAUUGAAAUGCCCACUAAUGUCCUUAAUUCCCACACAGCUCACGAGAGACAGCAUCGGUAACACAAUCACCCACAAGAGGCCCAAGCUUCGUAACUUUCAAGCAAUUCUCAGAGGAAAUUUAAAUAAAACGCAAAAGAAACGGAAUUAUCGCUACAGCCACAGAGAGACAAAACACGAAUGAGAGAUAAGCAAUGCAAAAUCAAAGUUUCUCGCUCUCUCUCUCUUUGUUACGCUCAUGCGCAACAUGCAAAAAACAACAGCAAACGAAACGGCACAGCAGCGAAAAGUCAAAGUCAUCGAAAGCAGAUAAUUUCUGUGUUGCAGCUGAAUGUAAAACAAGAAGACCCACUUAAGUGCCCUCAUUCACAUAUGUUCAUGUGAG